GAUGAACGCUGGCGGCGUGCUUAACACAUGCAAGUCGAACGGAAAGGCUCCUGCUUGCAGGGGUACUCGAGUGGCGAACGGGUGAGUAACACGUGGGUGAUCUGCCCUGCACUUCGGGAUAAGCCUGGGAAACUGGGUCUAAUACCGGAUAGGACGAUGGUUUGGAUGCCAUUGUGGAAAGUUUUUCGGUGUGGGAUGAGCUCGCGGCCUAUCAGCUUGUUGGUGGGGUAAUGGCCUACCAAGGCGUCGACGGGUAGCCGGCCUGAGAGGGUGUACGGCCACGUGGGGCCUGAGAUGGGCCCAAGCCUCCAGGGGGGGGCAGGGGGGGGGAUUAUGCCACAAGGGGCGAAACCUGGAUGCGGCGCCGCCGGGGGGGGGAUGACGGCUUUGGGUUUAUAAACUCCUUGCGCAGGGGAGGAAGCGCAAGGGACGGUACCGGGAAAAGAAGCCCCGGCUAAUUACGUG
This 465-nucleotide ribosomal RNA is filed under the name uncultured bacterium. Its description in RNAcentral is "partial 16S ribosomal RNA". It matches the Rfam family "Bacterial small subunit ribosomal RNA", at positions 28 to 507 of the family's 1533-position model. The record is from RNAcentral.